Molecule: ribosomal RNA, 1488 nt
Filed under: metagenome
Description: bacterial SSU rRNA
Rfam family: Bacterial small subunit ribosomal RNA
Source: RNAcentral
AGAGUUUGAUCCUGGCUCAGGAUGAACGCUAGCUACAGGCUUAACACAUGCAAGUCGAGGGGAAACGAUAUUGGAAGCUUGCUUCCGAUAGGCGUCGACCGGCGCACGGGUGAGUAACGCGUAUCCAACCUGCCCAUCACUUGGGAAUAACCUUGCGAAAGUAAGACUAAUGCCCAAUGACAUUUAUAGAAGGCAUCUGAAAUGAAUUAAAGAUUUAUCGGUGAUGGAUGGGGAUGCGUCUGAUUAGCUUGUUGGCGGGGCAACGGCCCACCAAGACUACGAUGGAUAGGGGUUCUGAGAGGAAGGUCCCCCACAUUGGAACUGAGACACGGUCCAAACUCCUACGGGAGGCAGCAGUGAGGAAUAUUGGUCAAUGGACGCGAGUCUGAACCAGCCAAGUAGCGUGAAGGAUGACUGCCCUAUGGGUUGUAAACUUCUUUUAUAUGGGAAUAAAGUUGUCCACGUGUGGAUUUUUGUAUGUACCAUAUGAAUAAGGAUCGGCUAACUCCGUGCCAGCAGCCGCGGUAAUACGGAGGAUCCGAGCGUUAUCCGGAUUUAUUGGGUUUAAAGGGAGCGUAGGCGGAUUGUUAAGUCAGUUGUGAAAGUUUGCGGCUCAACCGUAAAAUUGCAGUUGAUACUGGCAGUCUUGAGUGCAGUAGAGGUGGGCGGAAUUCGUGGUGUAGCGGUGAAAUGCUUAGAUAUCACGAAGAACUCCGAUUGCGAAGGCAGCUCACUGGAGUGUAACUGACGCUGAUGCUCGAAAGUGUGGGUAUCAAACAGGAUUAGAUACCCUGGUAGUCCACACAGUAAACGAUGAAUACUCGCUGUUUGCGAUAUACAGUAAGCGGCCAAGCGAAAGCAUUAAGUAUUCCACCUGGGGAGUACGCCGGCAACGGUGAAACUCAAAGGAAUUGACGGGGGCCCGCACAAGCGGAGGAACAUGUGGUUUAAUUCGAUAAUACGCGAGGAACCUUACCCGGGCUUAAAUUGCAAAUGAAUUAUGGGGAAACCCAUAGGCCGUAAGGCAUUUGUGAAGGUGCUGCAUGGUUGUCGUCAGCUCGUGCCGUGAGGUGUCGGCUUAAGUGCCAUAACGAGCGCAACCCUUAUCUUCAGUUACUAACAGGUCAUGCUGAGGACUCUGGAGAGACUGCCGUCGUAAGAUGUGAGGAAGGUGGGGAUGACGUCAAAUCAGCACGGCCCUUACGUCCGGGGCUACACACGUGUUACAAUGGGGGGUACAGAAGGCCGCUACCUGGUGACAGGAUGCCAAUCCCAAAAACCUCUCUCAGUUCGGAUCGAAGUCUGCAACCCGACUUCGUGAAGCUGGAUUCGCUAGUAAUCGCGCAUCAGCCAUGGCGCGGUGAAUACGUUCCCGGGCCUUGUACACACCGCCCGUCAAGCCAUGAAAGCCGGGGGUACCUGAAGUACGUAACCGCAAGGAGCGUCCUAGGGUAAAACUGGUAAUUGGGGCUAAGUCGUAACAAGGUA